This 229-nucleotide ribosomal RNA is filed under the name uncultured bacterium. RNAcentral describes it as "partial 16S ribosomal RNA". It matches the Rfam family "Bacterial small subunit ribosomal RNA", at positions 568 to 796 of the family's 1533-position model. The record is from RNAcentral.
UGCGUAGGCGGCUCCGUAUGUCAGAUGUGAAAUCUCACCGUUCAUCGGUGAACGUGCAUUUGAAACUGCGGGGCUAGAGUACGGGAGAGGAGAGCGGAAUUCUCGGUGUAGCGGUGAAAUGCGUAGAUAUCGAGAAGAACGCCGGAGGCGAAGGCGGCUCUCUGGAACGUAACUGACGCUGAGGCACGAAAGCGUGGGGAGCAAACAGGAUUAGAUACCCUGGUAGUCC